Molecule: ribosomal RNA, 253 nt
Filed under: uncultured bacterium
Lineage: Bacteria
Description: partial 16S ribosomal RNA
Rfam family: Bacterial small subunit ribosomal RNA
Source: RNAcentral
UACGUAGGGUGCGAGCGUUGUCCGGAAUUACUGGGCGUAAAGAGCUCGUAGGUGGUUUGUCGCGUUGUUCGUGAAAACCGGGGGCUUAACCCUCGGCGUGCGGGCGAUACGGGCAGACUUGAGUACUGCAGGGGAGACUGGAAUUCCUGGUGUAGCGGUGGAAUGCGCAGAUAUCAGGAGGAACACCGGUGGCGAAGGCGGGUCUCUGGGCUGACACUGACGCUCAUGCACGAAAGCGUGGGGAGCAAACAGG